AAGAGCGAAUACCUCCAUGUGACUGUACAGUAAAACACAGAAUGGAUGUUUCUCAAAAAAAAAAAAAAACUGAAAGUAAUUGCAAGUUGUACCCGACUAGCACAGAAUGAGAAAACACUACCCAAGAUACAUAUCAUUUAAAAUCCAUUAAUAACACAUCCAAACAUAAAGGGUUGAUUCUAAACUGUUUGCCACGCCCCUAAGAAAUACUCAUCACAACAGCCUCGAGCUGGCUGAUAAGUCUACUCAUCAGAG
Molecule: long non-coding RNA, 255 nt
Filed under: Triticum aestivum (bread wheat)
Lineage: Eukaryota; Viridiplantae; Streptophyta; Magnoliopsida; Poales; Poaceae
Description: long non-coding RNA (TAES_LNC018716)
Source: RNAcentral